This 253-nucleotide ribosomal RNA is filed under the name uncultured bacterium. Its description in RNAcentral is "partial 16S ribosomal RNA". It matches the Rfam family "Bacterial small subunit ribosomal RNA", at positions 524 to 776 of the family's 1533-position model. The record is from RNAcentral.
UACGUAGGCAGCAAGCGUUGUUCGGAGUUACUGGGCGUAAAGGGUGCGUAGGCGGCUUUUUAAGUUUGGUGUGAAAUCUCCCGGCUCAACUGGGAGGGUGCGCCGAAUACUGAGAGGCUAGAGUGUGGGAGAGGAAAGUGGAAUUCCUGGUGUAGCGGUGAAAUGCGUAGAUAUCAGGAGGAACACCGGUGGUGUAAACGGCUUUCUGGACCAUAACUGACGCUGAUGCACGAAAGCUAGGGGAGCAAACAGG